CGUAACCUCUACUCGACGUGGUCGAUUAUUUUUGGUCGUAGUACUGUUUUAUAAAUAGCCCAGUCUUGCAGCGAACUCCACUCAGCGAAGAUGAUUGCCAGUCGUAUUGGACGUCUGUUCUCCACCUCGGCCGCUAGGAUGAGUGGUCAUGGUCACGGACCCGACGGUGGAAUCCCCGGCAUUAACCUGCCUUUCGACAUCAGCAACAAGUACAAGCUGACUGCGUACUUUGUCAUCUACUGCGGAUCUGCCAUGUCCAUCCCCUUCCUAGUGCUCAGGCACGCGCUUACUAAGUAAUCUGGUUCUUCAUCAGAAAACUUUAGACAACAUUACCAUGUAUUGUUAAGUUACUUUUUAAAAUUACUCUAACGUUAUAGUUUGUAAAUAAAGAUGUAAUCCUUUGUUUA
Long non-coding RNA from Macrosteles quadrilineatus (aster leafhopper), 407 nucleotides. RefSeq lists it as uncharacterized. Lineage: Eukaryota; Metazoa; Arthropoda; Insecta; Hemiptera; Cicadellidae. The transcript is spliced from 4 exons. The record is from RefSeq and is a predicted model, not a curated record.